RNAcentral lists this unclassified non-coding RNA (226 nucleotides) under uncultured fungus. RNAcentral's name for it is "sequence contains ITS1, 5.8S rRNA gene". The record is from RNAcentral. Lineage: Eukaryota; Fungi.
UCUCCGUAGGUGAACCUGCGGAGGGAUCAUUACUGAGUGAGGGCUUCGGUCCGACCUCCAACCCUUUGUGAACCAAACUUGUUGCUUCGGGGGCGACCCUGCCGCUUCGGCGGUGCGGGGCCCCCGGAGGCCAUUAAACACUGCAUCAUUGCGUCGGAGUUAAAGUAAAUUAAACAAAACUGUCAACAACGGAUCUCCUGGUUCGGGCAUCGAAGAAGAACGCAGC